CAAUAGCGUAUAUUUAAGUUGUUGCAGUUAAAAAGCUCGUAGUUGGAUUUCUGCCGAGGACGACCGGUCCGCCCUCUGGGUGAGUAUCUGGCUCGGCCUGGGCAUCUUCUUGGAGAACGUAGCUGCACUUGACUGUGUGGUGCGGUAUCCAGGACUUUUACUUUGAGGAAAUUAGAGUGUUUCAAGCAGGCUUACGCCUUGAAUACAUUAGCAUGGAAUAAUAAGAUAGGACCUCGGUUCUAUUUUGUUGGUUUCUAGAGCUGAGGUAAUGAUUAAUAGGGAUAGUUGGGGGCAUUCGUAUUUAACUGUCAGAGGUGAAAUUCUUGGAUUUAUUAAAGACGGACUACUGCGAAAGCAUUUGCCAAGGAUGUUUUCAUUGA
RNAcentral lists this ribosomal RNA (380 nucleotides) under uncultured eukaryote. Its description in RNAcentral is "partial 18S ribosomal RNA". It matches the Rfam family "Eukaryotic small subunit ribosomal RNA", at positions 592 to 976 of the family's 1831-position model. The record is from RNAcentral.